UAGGGGGCAAGCGUUAUCCGGUUUUACUGGGUGUAAAGGGAGCGUAGACGGCUGUGCAAGUCUGGAGUGAAAGGCAUGGGCUUAACCCAUGGACUGCUUUGGAAACUGUGCGGCUUGAGUGUCGGAGAGGCAAGUGGAAUUCCUAGUGUAGCGGUGAAAUGCGUAGAUAUUAGGAGGAACACCAGUGGCGAAGGCGGCUUGCUGGACGAUGACUGACGUUGAGGCUCGAAAGCGUGGGGAGCAAA
Molecule: ribosomal RNA, 245 nt
Filed under: uncultured bacterium
Lineage: Bacteria
Description: partial 16S ribosomal RNA
Rfam family: Bacterial small subunit ribosomal RNA
Source: RNAcentral